Long non-coding RNA from Salvelinus sp. IW2-2015, 451 nucleotides. RefSeq lists it as uncharacterized. NCBI's taxonomy places the organism in Eukaryota, Metazoa, Chordata, Actinopteri, Salmoniformes, Salmonidae. The record is from RefSeq and is a predicted model, not a curated record.
CUCUCUCUCUCUCUCUCUCUCUCUCUCUUGUGAAUGAUCUCUGUUUGUUGUUUCUCCAGGAUAAUGUUCCUCAGAUCAACACUGCUGGAGUUUGUGCCAGAGGUGGUCUGUUCGUAGGACUACCAGACGAGAUUCCCAGGAGCUCCAUCCUCAGUGAGACUGCUCUGCAGUUCUACAUCACUCAGUUCAAAGACAAGGGAUUCAGAGGGCCGUUGAACUGGUACCGUAAUGUUUGUGAGCAACUGGAAAUGGCUAUGCUCCCGACCCAGGGCUAAGCUCUUGAUGCCAGCUCUCAUGGUGACAGCUGGUAAAGAUCAUGUCCUGCUGCUGUCUUCUCCAAGGGGAUGGGAACCAUGGUGAGACACACACACACAUAUUUAUACACACAUGUAUACAUGUAAUUGACACGUGUGACUGUGACAUCUCUGUGUGUCAGAUCCCCAACCUAACA